UACGUAGGGUGCAAGCGUUAAUCGGGAUUACUGGGCGUAAAGCGUGCGCAGGCGGUUCUAUAAGACAGAUGUGAAAUCCCCGGGCUCAACCUGGGAACUGCAUUUGUGACUGUAGAGCUGGAGUGCGGCAGAGGGGGAUGGAAUUCCGCGUGUAGCAGUGAAAUGCGUAGAUAUGCGGAGGAACACCGAUGGCGAAGGCAAUCCCCUGGGCCUGCACUGACGCUCAUGCACGAAAGCGUGGGGAGCAAACAGG
This 253-nucleotide ribosomal RNA is filed under the name uncultured bacterium. Its description in RNAcentral is "partial 16S ribosomal RNA". It matches the Rfam family "Bacterial small subunit ribosomal RNA", at positions 524 to 776 of the family's 1533-position model. The record is from RNAcentral.